GACGAACGCUGGCGGCGUGCUUAACACAUGCAAGUCGAACGGAAAGGCCUGCUUUCCCUUGUGGAUUGCGGGUACUCGAGUGGCGAACGGGUGAGUAACACGUGAGUGAUCUGCCCCCAACUUGGGUAUAAGCCUGGGAAACUGGGUCUAAUUCCCGAUAGGACUGCAGGGUGGUGCCUGUGGUGGAAAACGAUUUUCUAGUGGUUGGGGAUGAGCUCGCGGCCUAUCAGCUUGUUGGUGGGGUAAUGGCCUACCAAGGCGGCGACGGGUAGCCGGCCUGGGAGGGUGGACGGCCACAUUGGGACGGAGAUACGGCCCAGACUCCUACGGGAGGCAGCAGUGGGGAAUAUUGCACAAUGGGCGGAAGCCUGAUGCAGCGACGCCGCGUGGGGGAUGACGGCCUUCGGGUUGUAAACUCCUUUCGACCGCGAGGAAGCCACCUGGUUGGAAGGGUGGUGACGGUAGUGGUAGAAGAAGCACCGGCUAACUACGUG
Molecule: ribosomal RNA, 494 nt
Filed under: uncultured bacterium
Lineage: Bacteria
Description: partial 16S ribosomal RNA
Rfam family: Bacterial small subunit ribosomal RNA
Source: RNAcentral